RNAcentral lists this long non-coding RNA (243 nucleotides) under Coturnix japonica (Japanese quail). RNAcentral describes it as "lncRNA (ENSCJPG00005004510.1)". Lineage: Eukaryota; Metazoa; Chordata; Aves; Galliformes; Phasianidae. The record is from RNAcentral.
AUGAUCUGUGUUUCUUUCAGGUGUCCACCUGCUGUUUGCAGCGGGAUGAUUUGUAUUGCUUCACUAACUGCUGAUGUUGGAGAGUGGUACAAACAACAAAAUAUGGGUCAGUACUUGAUGGUGGUUCUAAGAAAGAACAUGAGAGUAGGAAAGAAAGGAAUACUGAAAGGGAGAUCCAGAAGCUUACAGGAUAUCUCAUUUGGUGAGCAAGAGAAGCCAAUUUUGGGAGCAUGUUCACUGUGA